UAUAUGCAUCUAGUGUGUGUGAAUCUAUAACUCUAAAAUUUUAUAUCUAAUUAGCACUACUUUGAUGUUAUACUAAUGUUUUAUUAUAUAUAUUUUACAUGCAUGGAGAUAAUGGCGCCUAAUAAACAAUGGAUGGAACUCAUUAAAGAUAGACUUGCUAUUGCUUAUAUAGAUGGGGUUGAGACUUUCUUGGAUUAUGCUUUUUCAAAAUUAGGAGACCCGCAGUUGAUACGUUGUCCAUGUAUUAAAUGUGGUAAUGCAAUUUCUAGAACAUGUGUUAUGGUUAGGUCGCAUUUAAUAGUACAUGGGAUAAGACCAAGUUAUACUUUUUGGUAUCACCAUGUGGAGAUGUCAGGUGAAGAACAAUAAAAUUUUGAAAAAAUAGAUGAUAAUGACUUUAAAGAGGAUGAUGGUGAGGAUGAAAUAGAUGGUUUGCUUAGAGAUUUGUACCCCGAUAUUAACGUAGAUAAUAUGAAUAAUAGUGGUGAUGAUUUUCUGGAGGAGGAACAAAAUGAUGAAGCAAAAAAGUUUUAUAGGCUUUUGAAAAAUCUUGAUCUAACAUCAUAUGAAAGUGCAAAAAUUUCUAAGCUCUCUACAUUGGUUCAAUUGCUUCACCGUAAAAGUAUUCGUUAUCGGAGUAAUGAGUCAUUUACAAUGUUGUUGAAGUUUUAGAAAGAUGAUCUAUUUUUCGAUGUAACAAAUUUGCCGGAAUCGUAUUAUGAGGCAAAGAAGGUUAUUCGGGAUCUUGGACUUUCUUGUAAGAAGAUUGAUGCAUGUAAGAAUGAUUGCAUGUUAUAUUGGAAGGAUGAUAAUUGUCUUCAAUCUUGCAAAAUUUGUGGUGCAUCUAGAUGGAAGGAUGGUAAACAGAGUGGUGAAAAAAAAUUGAAAAAGGGAAAAAAGAUACCAUGCAAGAUUUUACGUUAUUUUCCUCUAAAGCCGACACUUCAAAGGUAUUAUAUGUGCUCAAAGAUAUCUCCUUUGAUAUUAUGGCAUCAAGACAAAAGAGUUGAUGUCGGAAUAAUAAGGCAUCCAGCUGAUUCAGUGGCAUGGAAAAAAUUUGAUGAGCUUCACUCAUCUUUUGCUGCAGAUCCACGUAAUGUACGACUUCGACUUGCUAGUGAUGGUUUCCAACCAUUUGGAAUGUCAAAAAGUCCGUGCAACGUUUGGCUCGUGGUACUUAUUCCCUAUAAUUUUCCACCUUGGCUUUGCAUGAAGCAAGAGAACUUUAUUUUGUCAAUGCUUUUACCUGGCCCUGAGCGUCCUGGUGAUGCAAUUGAUGUUUAUCUGUAACCUUUAAUAGAGGAGUUGAAUGAAUUAUGGGAAAAAGGAGUCAAGACAUUUGAUGCAUCAACUAGAAAGAAUUUUACAUUAUAUGCAUCUAUGUUGUGGACCAUUAAUGACUUUCCAGCAUAUGCAAAUUUGUCAAGAUGGAGUACAAAAGGAAAAAUCGUUAGCCCAUGUUGCAAUAAAAAAACACACCAUACAAGGCUAACAAAUGUCCAAAAAAAGUGUUAUAUGGUCCAUAGACGAUAUCUUCCUCUUAAUCACAAAUGGAGAAAUGAUAAAGCGUCAUUUGAUAACACUGCUGAGCACAGGCUACCGCCUGAAAUGUUGUCCGGUGAUGAUAUUCUUGAACAGGUUGCUGACUUAGAUUGGUUACAAUUAAAAAGGGGUCCACAGAAGAAUAUUAAAGUAUCACGCAAGAAAAGGGGUGAUAAUUGGAAUAAGAAGAGUGUAUUCUUUGACAUUCUAUAUUGAAAAACCUUAUUGUUGCGACAUAAUCUUGAUGUGCUGCACAUUGAAAAGAAUAUAUGUGAUAGUAUUUUGGGGACUAUAUUGGAUGUCUCAGGGAAAACAAAAGACACCUUUAGCACUCGGUUGGAUUUACAAAAUAUUAAAAUACGAAAACAAUUGCCUAUGAUACGAAAUGGAUAUAAAUAUGAGUUACCAGCAUCACCUUACACAUUAUCUGAUGAAGAUAAGCAAAAAAUUUUCAAAUUUUUGAAGAAUUUGAAGUUCCCAGAUGGAUUUUUCUUCAAAUAUGUCUCAAUGUAUCAAGUUAAGGAUAAAAAUUUUUCUCAAGAUUAAAAAGUCAUCAUUGUUAUAUAAUUUUACAACAUUUACUCCCUCUUGCCAUGUGUGGUAUGCUUUGCAAAUCUGUGUCUGAAACUCUUAUUGAGUUGUCAAUUUUUUUCAAAGUGCUUGGAACAAAAUGUUAGUGCGUAGAGGAUUUGGAACAAAUAGAAGCUCAAAUACCAAAAAAAUUAUGCAAGUUAGAAAAGGUGUUCCCUCCUGCAUUUUUCUAUGUCAUGGUGCACUUGUCUAUUCAUCUACCUGAUGAAGCUAAGAUUGCUGGACCAAUUCAGUAUCGAUGGAUGUAUCCAAUAGAGAGAUACCUACACUUUUUGAAGUGUUUUAUUUGAAAAAAUUUGAAGGGUAGCACACCAGACAAACUUGAUUCAAACGAUUUAGAGGACGCACACUAUUAUAUUUUGAAGAAUUGUAAUGAAAUUCAACCUUUCCUCGAUGAAUUUUCAUGAAUUCAUAGUGAGACCUCUCACCAAAGUUCAGAUGUGGAGUGGAAUAGAAAGUUCAUUACUUCGUUACAAAAAAAGGAUUAUACAAAUAUGAUGAUAGUAAGAGAAUGGAAGAUUUACUAUCGUUAUCACGUGGCCCUAUGCCAUAUGUCACAAGGUUCAAAGGUCAUAUUAUUAAUGGAUAUAGGUUUCAUGUGAAAGAGUCUGAUCAAUAUCUAAAAACUCAAAAUUAUGGAGUGGUUGUAGUAGGUGAGACCGGUGAAGAACAAAACCACAUGAACUAUUAUGGCGAGUUAGCCGAGGUUCUUGAAUUACAAUUUGUUGGGGGAAGAAUAAAAAGUCACGGAUAGUUGCCAUUUCUAUAUCACAUUUUUUUGGCAACUUGAGGCCUUAUCUGUUGCAAUGCGCAAUGUUUGACCUAUUUUGUCUAGCUGUCACUUGGUUUGGAACUGUUGAUGGGUACUUUUCGAAAACUAGAUGAAUGUUAUUUUGCAUGUUUGGACUUAUAGAUAUAAAAAGAAAAGGCCAUUGUAUAGAGUAAUAUUUUAAAAAUUGGACACCAAAAACUUAACUACGUAUUGGAGUAAAUUUAUAUCGAAGAGCAUAGUUGACUUACUUUAAAAUUUGCAAGUCCAUGUGAAUAUGAUAGGACAACCAAGGUGAGGGGAACAAACAUUUGUAAGAAUGUUCUGCGAUUAAGACCUGGAGAGAAGUUUAAAGUCACUUUCUAUCAAAAUUGAGUCGUUGGGACAAAUCAGACCUUGUUUACGAGACACUUGGGUUUGCUAGUUCGUGAUCUUAAUAUAUGCCCGUUGCGGGUACACUCAUGGAUGGAUAUCGAAGAGCACAAGCUUGAGCAUAUGUGGGCAGCUGUUACAGUAAGAAUUACAACA
Molecule: long non-coding RNA, 3430 nt
Organism: Solanum pennellii
Lineage: Eukaryota; Viridiplantae; Streptophyta; Magnoliopsida; Solanales; Solanaceae
Exons: 3
Source: RefSeq, a predicted model, not a curated record